AGCCUGCUCUUAGAGAAGAAGUGCCUGGAGGCCAAAAAUAAGAGUCCUUUUAGACGAAGAGCGAGAACAUCAGAGUCAGAGGCUGCAAAGAUACAAGAGGCCAACUUGGUCUGGUGCUCAACUGAAGAAAUAGAGAUCUUGGCUGUGUGCAUCUUCCUGGACGCACCCUUAUAAAGACUUUAAAAGUAGAUCCAUCCAUGAUUCAAAAUCGAGGCUCAGUCACCAGAUUUAAUAUCCUCGGUUUGAAAUUGGAAGAAGGUACAUUUAGAAGAGACUAAGUGUCCCUGACAGAAGAAGAGUAAAGAGCCAGAGGCAGGCUGCAACUCACCCAGCUCAAACAUCUGCCAGAGCUCAAGUCCUUGCUCUGAGGGCUGUGUUCAUGGGAGAGACUGCCCCGACCAGGACCAGUAAUCACCAGAGGGCAUUAUGGAGAGCCUUGAAGGGGCCUGGAUAUACAUUGCCUCAGUGAAAAACACAGCAGACCUU
This is a long non-coding RNA of Eptesicus fuscus (big brown bat), 486 nucleotides long. RefSeq lists it as uncharacterized. The record is from RefSeq and is a predicted model, not a curated record. The transcript is spliced from 4 exons. Lineage: Eukaryota; Metazoa; Chordata; Mammalia; Chiroptera; Vespertilionidae.